UUUUCAUUCUGGUUUUCUACAUCAAACUUGAGGUGCGGAAAUUCACUCUUCAUUGUAUUAAUUACGAAUUUGUUACCUUAUGGAACAUGCAUUUUGUGGUCAUGACUCUAAGAGGUCCUUUGGCAACGGUCCCCGUACCCCCCCCCCCUUUUUUUUUUUUUUUUUUUCGUGGAGGAGCUGAGCACCCAGCGCGUCCCCCCCCAUGUCCCCUCAGCCCCCCCAUGUCCCCAAUGACCCCCCAUGCCCCCCCAAUGCCCCGAUAGCCCCCCCAUGACCCCCCAAUGUCCCUAUAACCCCGCCGUGUCCCCAUAGCCCCCCCAUGUCCCCCCAUGUCCCUAUAGCCCCCCCGUGUCCCUAUAACCCCCCCGUCCCCGUACCUCCCAGCUGUGCCGCCGAGGUGGGCGCAGGAGGAGGCGCGGGCGUGACGUCGGGGAUGCAGGCGGCGUCCUCCGAGGCUGCAGGUUUUGGGGACAAUUUUGGGGCUGAAUGUGGCAAUUUUAGGGCCGAACGCAGCAAUUUCAGGGCUGAACGCGGGAGUUUUGGGGUCAAAUGUGAUGGUUUUGGGGCCCAACACAGCAAUUUUGGGGCUGAAUGCAGCAGAUUUGGGGCCCAACGUGGUGAUUUUGGGGGCGCAACGCAGUGAUUUUUGGGGCCAAACAGGGCAUUUUCGGGGCCAAAAGUGGCGAUUUUGGGGUUGAACGCGAUGGUUUCAGAGCCAAAUAUGACAAUUUUGGGGCCCAAUGCGGUGAUUUUGGGGCCAAACAGGGCAUUUUCGGCACCAAACGCGGCGAUUUCGGGGUUGAACGCGGCAGUUUCGGGGCCAAACACGCCAAUUUUGGGUCCAAACACGGCGAUUUCCUCCCCGGCCUCGCACCAUUCACCACGAUCUCGGCGCUGAGCUCCGACACCUGCCAGGCGCUGCCGUUGUAGCUCCGGUACCGGCACCGGUAGCACCGGGCCCCCUCCGCGGCCUCGUUUAGGACAAAAUCCACCUUAUUUUGGCCCGGGGGGGCCGUGAGGCUCUGCACCGGCCCCGUGGUGCCCGCGCCGAGGAGCUCGAAGGUGCUGCCGGCGAAGCGCCGCGGGGCGAAGCAGCUGAUCCGCGCCGCGCCGGAGACGAGGCCGAGCGGGGCCGGGGCGAGCUGGGGGGCUGCCACGGCUCCUGGGGGGGCAGCGGGAUGGUUCAGGGGGCUCCCAGCCCGGCCCUGGGCUUUUUAUUUUUUUGGGGAGGGGGCUAUGGGGGCGACGUACCUGCCACCAGGAGGAGAAGCUUCAGCCUCAUCCUCAUCCUCCUCCCGCGGGGAGCAGGGGGGGGUUUUGCUCAAGGGCGAGUUUCAUCACUCAGGAAGGAAAUGACAGAGCAGGGAUUGGGCUUCGGCUUCGCCCCGUUGCACAAAGAGGCGUUUUUUUGACCCAAAUCCACCCCCCCCAAAAAAAAAAGAUAUUUUUCCACCCCAAAAGCCCCAAAAUCUCGGCCACAUCCUGCACACAACGGGGUCACCGCGUGUGGUAUCGCCGGGCUCGCUUCCGAAUUAUCGCAGCAGGGACGCGGGGGAGAAAACCCCCAAAUCCCCUCCUGGGCCCCCAAAACCUGCUCCAGCCCCCCCCCAGCUGCCC
This is a long non-coding RNA of Cairina moschata (Muscovy duck), 1617 nucleotides long. NCBI's taxonomy places the organism in Eukaryota, Metazoa, Chordata, Aves, Anseriformes, Anatidae. The record is from Ensembl.